GGGGGCUAGUGACCGGUCUACACCGGAUGUUCAUAACCCUUUGUUGUCCGACUCUGUUGCCUCCGGGGCGACCCUGCCUUCGGGCGGGGGCUCCGGGUGGACACUUCAAACUCUUGCGUAACUUUGCAGUCUGAGUAAACUUAAUUAAUAAAUUAAAACUUUUAACAACGGAUCUCUUGGUUCUGGCAUCGAUGAAGAACGCAGCGAAAUGCGAUAAGUAAUGUGAAUUGCAGAAUUCAGUGAAUCAUCGAAUCUUUGAACGCACAUUGCGCCCCCUGGUAUUCCGGGGGGCAUGCCUGUUCGAGCGUCAUUUCACCACUCAAGCCUCGCUUGGUAUUGGGCAACGCGGUCCGCCGCGUGCCUCAAAUCGACCGGCUGGGUCUUCUGUCCCCUAAGCGUUGUGGAAACUAUUCGCUAAAGGGUGCUCGGGAGGCUACGCCGUAAAACAACCCCAUUUCUAAGGUUGACCUCGGAUCAGGUAGGGAUACCCGCUGAACUUAAGCAUAUCAAUAGCCGGAGGA
RNAcentral lists this ribosomal RNA (521 nucleotides) under Cladosporium uredinicola. RNAcentral describes it as "eukaryotic LSU rRNA". The stretch from base 157 to 310 matches the Rfam family "5.8S ribosomal RNA". The record is from RNAcentral. Lineage: Eukaryota; Fungi; Ascomycota; Dothideomycetes; Cladosporiales; Cladosporiaceae.